AACGAACGCUGGCGGCAUGCCUAACACAUGCAAGUCGAACGAGACCUUCGGGUCUAGUGGCGCACGGGUGCGUAACGCGUGGGAACCUGCCCUUAGGUUCGGAAUAACUCCCCGAAAGGGGUGCUAAUACCGGAUAAUGUCUUCGGACCAAAGAUUUAUCGCCUUUGGAUGGGCCCCGUUGGAUUAGCUAGUUGGUAGGGUAAAAGCCUACCAAGGCGACGAUCCAUAGCUGGUCUGAGAGGAUGAUCAGCCACACUGGGACUGAGACACGGCCCAGACUCCUACGGGAGGCAGCAGUGGGGAAUAUUGGACAAUGGGCGAAAGCCUGAUCCAGCAAUGCCGCGUGAGUGAUGAAGGCCUUAGGGUUGUAAAGCUCUUUUACCCGGGAUGAUAAUGACAGUACCGGGAGAAUAAGCGCCGGCUAACUCCGUG
Molecule: ribosomal RNA, 432 nt
Filed under: uncultured bacterium
Lineage: Bacteria
Description: partial 16S ribosomal RNA
Rfam family: Bacterial small subunit ribosomal RNA
Source: RNAcentral